This 451-nucleotide ribosomal RNA is filed under the name uncultured bacterium. RNAcentral describes it as "partial 16S ribosomal RNA". It matches the Rfam family "Bacterial small subunit ribosomal RNA", at positions 354 to 796 of the family's 1533-position model. The record is from RNAcentral.
GUGGGGAAUAUUGGACAAUGGGGGGAACCCUGAUCCAGCCAUGCCGCGUGUGUGAAGAAGGCCUUUUGGUUGUAAAGCACUUUAAGCGAGGAGGAGGCUACCGAGAUUAAUACUCUUGGAUAGUGGACGUUACUCGCAGAAUAAGCACCGGCUAACUCUGUGCCAGCAGCCGCGGUAAUACAGAGGGUGCAAGCGUUAAUCGGAUUUACUGGGCGUAAAGCGCGCGUAGGCGGCCAAUUAAGUCAAAUGUGAAAUCCCCGAGCUUAACUUGGGAAUUGCAUUCGAUACUGGUUGGCUAGAGUAUGGGAGAGGAUGGUAGAAUUCCAGGUGUAGCGGUGAAAUGCGUAGAGAUCUGGAGGAAUACCGAUGGCGAAGGCAGCCAUCUGGCCUAAUACUGACACUGAGGUGCGAAAGCAUGGGGAGCAAACAGGAUUAGAUACCCCGGUAGUCC